UAUGCUUCUCGGCCUUUUGGCUAAGAUCAAGUGUAGUAUCUGUUCUUAUCAGUUUAAUAUCUGAUACGUCCCCUAUCUGGGGCCAAUAUUUAAAUGGAUUUUUGGAACAGGGAGAUGGAAGAAGAGCUUGCUCUGUCCACUCCACGCAUCGACCUGUGUAUUGCAGUACCUCCAGGACCGGUGCACCUCUC
Molecule: small nuclear RNA, 191 nt
Filed under: Xenopus tropicalis (tropical clawed frog)
Lineage: Eukaryota; Metazoa; Chordata; Amphibia; Anura; Pipidae
Description: U2 spliceosomal RNA (ENSXETG00000045330.1)
Rfam family: U2 spliceosomal RNA
About the family: U2 is a small nuclear RNA (snRNA) component of the spliceosome (involved in pre-mRNA splicing).
Source: Rfam by way of RNAcentral